CUUGCUCCCUGAUGUUAGCGGCGGACGGGUGAUGUAACACGUGGGUAACCUGCCUGUAAGAACUGGGAUAACUCCGGGAAACCGGGGCUAAUACCGGAUGCUUGUUUGAACCGCAUGGUUCAAACAUAAAAGGUGGCUUCGGCUACCACUUACAGAUGGACCCGCGGCGCAUUAGCUAGUUGGUGAGGUAAUGGCUCACCAAGGCAACGAUGCGUAGCCGAACCUGAGAGGGUGAUCGGCCACACUGGGACUGAAGACACGGCCCAGACUCCUACGGGAGGCAGCAGUAGGGAAUCUUCCGCAAUGGACGAAAGUCUGACGGAGCAACGCCGCGUGAGUGAUGAAGGUUUUCGGAUCGUAAAGCUCUGUUGUUAGGGAAGAACAAGUGCCGUUCAAAUAGGGCGGCACCUUGACGGUACCUAACCAGAAAGCCACGGCUAACUACGUGCCAGCAGCCGCGGUAAUACGUAGGUGGCAAGCGUUGUCCGGAAUUAUUGGGCGUAAAGGGCUCGCAGGCGGUUUCUUAAGUCUGAUGUGAAAGCCCCCGGCUCAACCGGGGAGGGUCAUUGGAAACUGGGGAACUUGAGUGCAGAAGAGGAGAGUGGAAUUCCACGUGUAGCGGUGAAAUGCGUAGAGAUGUGGAGGAACACCAGUGGCGAAGCGACUCUCUGGUCUGUAACUGACGCUGAGAGCGAAAGCGUGGGGAGCGAACAGGAUUAGAUACCCUGGUAGUCCACGCCGUAA
This 744-nucleotide ribosomal RNA is filed under the name Bacillus atrophaeus. RNAcentral describes it as "bacterial SSU rRNA". It matches the Rfam family "Bacterial small subunit ribosomal RNA", at positions 79 to 805 of the family's 1533-position model. Lineage: Bacteria; Bacillati; Bacillota; Bacilli; Caryophanales; Bacillaceae. The record is from RNAcentral.